CCUACGUGAGGCAGCAGUGAGGAAUAUUGGUCAAUGGGCGCGAGCCUGAACCGGCCAAGUAGCGUGAAGGAUGACUGCCCUACGGGUUGUAACCUUCUUUUUUAAAGGAAUAAAGUGAGGCACUUUUGCCUUUUUGUAGUUACUUUAUGAAUAAGGAUCGGCUAACUCCGUGCCAGCAGCCGCGGUAAUACGGAGGAUCCGAGCGUUAUCCGGAUUUAUGGGGUUUAAAGGGAGCGUAGAUGGGUUGUUAAGUCAGUUGUGAAAGUUUGCGGCUCAACCGUAAAAGUGCAAUUGAUACUGGCAGUCUUGAGUACAGUUGAGGUAGGCGGAAUUCGUGGUGUAGCGGUGAAAUGCUUAGAUAUCACGAAGAACUCCGAUUGCGAAGGCAGCUUACUAAACUGCCACUGACAUUGAUGCUCGAAAGUGUGGGUAUCAAACAGGAUUAGAUACCCUGGUAGUC
This 460-nucleotide ribosomal RNA is filed under the name uncultured bacterium. RNAcentral's name for it is "partial 16S ribosomal RNA". It matches the Rfam family "Bacterial small subunit ribosomal RNA", at positions 338 to 795 of the family's 1533-position model. The record is from RNAcentral.